CCCUACGGGGCGCAGCAGUGAGGAAUAUUGGUCAAUGGGCGUGAGCCUGAACCAGCCAAGUCGCGUGAGGGAAGACGGUCCUAUGGAUUGUAAACCUCUUUUGCCGGGGAGCAAAAAGCGGUACGCGUACCGCAUCGAGAGUACCCGGAGAAAAAGCAUCGGCUAACUCCGUGCCAGCAGCCGCGGUAAUACGGAGGAUGCGAGCGUUAUCCGGAUUUAUUGGGUUUAAAGGGUGCGCAGGCGGCGAGUUAAGUCAGCGGUAAAAUUUCGGGGCCCAACCCCGACAAGCCGUUGAAACUGGCUUG
Molecule: ribosomal RNA, 305 nt
Filed under: uncultured bacterium
Lineage: Bacteria
Description: bacterial SSU rRNA
Rfam family: Bacterial small subunit ribosomal RNA
Source: RNAcentral